This is an RNA transcript of Brassica napus (rape), 2403 nucleotides long. It is a transcript of the gene named glutamate--glyoxylate aminotransferase 2-like, with no coding region annotated. The record is from RefSeq and is a predicted model, not a curated record. The transcript has 7 exons. Lineage: Eukaryota; Viridiplantae; Streptophyta; Magnoliopsida; Brassicales; Brassicaceae.
AAUGAUCAUAUAUUAUAGGAGUGGGCGUUCGGUUACACGUUCAUGUUCGUAUCGGGUAUUUCAGUAUAAUGGUAUAGAACCCGUUUGGGUAUUUCUACACUUCGAGUCGAGUUCGGGUAUUUUAUGUUUGGGUUCGGAUAUUUUGGUUCAGGUUCAGAUAUUUAAAUUUUGAAGAAAAAUAAAUAAAUAAUUCAUUGUUUAAAUUAUUUAAAAUAUAUUUUAACUUAACUGGUUUUCUAAUUUUUAAAAGAUUAACAUAUUAAUAGGGUUGGAGAUAAAACUUUAAAAAUAUAAAUAUACUAAUUUAGUUGUUGUUUUGAAAUUUUAGAUGCAAUAUUAAUGCAAGAAACAAAAGCUUGAUAUGUAUUUAAGUGAGUAUUAGAUGAUUUUGUCCAUAAUUAUAUGUAUAUUAUUUUGAGCAAUAAGCAUUAUUAAUAUAAAUAUUUUGAAUACAAUGAAAGAAGUACACUAGAAAUAUAGGGUUAAGUAUACUUAUGUUUGGUUAUCUUCAGAUAUCUAUUCGGGUUCAGAUAUUACCCGUUCGGAUUCAAAUAUUACUCGAAUUGGUGAAAUAAGUAAUUUUUUUUGUUGUUCUAGAAUUAGAUGAUUUUUAGACCGAGCUGGUGAAUAUAUACUAGACUGACAUUUAUAUUUCGAGUCUGAACUUAUCUAUCCUAUACUAAAAGGUGAAUAUGGAGUGUUUCUAGCCUGUCCACGUAGGAUAAUAUAUUAGACCAAUCAAAACAUUCUAAUAAUACACGCUGGCAAAAUAACCGGGUAGCAGAUCUCUUGCUUUCGUACGGGCUCCGCUUUGUUUGAUGGGCUUCUCCGGUUCGUGUUGGGCUUCGCUACCCAGUUCGAAUAAUAAAAAAAACUUCAAAGCACGACGGAUAUCACGAGGCUCUCCCUUCUCGCUCUUCGUCUUCACCUUCCUUCACCAUCGUUUCACUUCUCCGAUCCCGAUCCAGAACCCCCACAAUCAAUACUCCACUACAACUCCAUCCAUAAAUUCUUUCUUUAUGAUUUCGAUUCAAUUUACCCUUUCCCUGCUGCUUUAUAUACUGAUUUUCUCUUCUGAGUGCAAACCAAACCCUAAAACUUUUUUGACCUCGAUUCGCGAUGAAACCGAAUGGAAAAUCCCCGAUGAACUCCGAUUAUGAUGAAAAGGUCAUGUUCUUCCGAGAUGUCACACCGGGUCCUCCCGCAUAUGAGGCAAGGCUCUCUAUACACUCUCGCCAGCUUCUACGGAUCUAGAAGCAAAAAUGGAGAAGGUCAUGCAUCCUGAUGUGCGAUCAAGUUUGAGUUGGAGGCUAAGGGAAGAAAUAUUUCCAGGAGAAUGAGAUAAUUUAGAGGUCGAUUUCAUAAACAAAGAAAUAAUUUAGAGCAGAAAGCACUAGCAAUGAAGAUGGAGAGAAGGAAGAUGUGUACCAGUUUGGAGUGAUCCUACUUCAGAUCAUCACGGGCAAAGUAAUGGCGGCUGCAUCCUCAGAGUUGGGCAGCUUGAAGCUUCAGCUGGAGAAUGGUUUGAGAGAGGAACCAUCGGUGUUGCGUAGCUUAGCAGAUCCAAGCGUGAGGGGAAUGUAUGCGUAUGAGUCACUGAGGACCACAGUGGAGUUUUCCAUUAACUGUCUUUGUGAAGAUCAGAGGAAGAGGCCAUCGAUAUAGGAUGUUGUGUGGAACAUCCCUCCAAGACCGUUGAGGAGAUAUACAAGGUUGCAUCUAUAGCUUUUAGUCCCAACGUCUCUGCGAAGAUAUUUAUGGGUUUAAUGGUUAGCCCACCAAAGCCUGGAGACAUUUCUUAUGACCAAUUCGUUCGUGAAAGCAAGGGGAUACUAGAGUCACUGAGAAGAAGAGCAAGAAUCAUGACUGAUGGGUUCAACAGCUGCAAGAACGUUGUCUGUAAUUUCACUGAAGGUGCAAUGUAUUCGUUUCCUCAGAUAAAGUUACCACCGAAAGCAAUCCAAGCAGCGAAACAAGCUGGGAAAAGCCACAGGAAUCUCCACUGUUCCUGGCUCUGGAUUUGGACAGAAAGAAGGGGUGUUUCAUCUGAGGACAACGAUUCUGCCUGCAGAAGAAGAGAUGCCUGAGAUUAUGGAAAGUUUCAUGAAGUUCAAUGAUGAGUUCAUGUCUCAGUACGGUGAUAACUUUGGUUACUCAAGGAUGUGAAAGAAAGGAGUUUGAGUUUGAGAUCACUUCUUCUUUUCUUACCGACAUUAUUAUUAUCAAUGCACACUCUUGAAAAGCUAUAGCCACUGGUCCUACUUUAUACAACUUUUCUUAUGGUCUUAGAAUCCUUUGUAUCUACCGAAACAAACAAACAUAAACCAUCUCAUCAGUUUCAGUGAUGUAUUAAAAUGUUUCUAUUUAGACAUCUUUAAACAAAAUAGAGUUUUUAUGUUUUUA